Molecule: transfer RNA, 66 nt
Filed under: Marmota monax (woodchuck)
Lineage: Eukaryota; Metazoa; Chordata; Mammalia; Rodentia; Sciuridae
Description: tRNA.Ala
Source: RNAcentral
GGUGUAGCUCAGUGGUAGAGCACUUACCUAGCAUGGGUGAGGCCCUAGUUUCAAUUCCCAGUACCA